UACGUAGGGUGCAAGCGUUGUCCGGAAUUAUUGGGCGUAAAGAGCUCGUAGGCGGUUCGUCGCGUCGGCUGUGAAAACCCGGAGCUCAACUCCGGGCCUGCAGUCGAUACGGGCGGACUCGAGUUCGGCAGGGGAGACUGGAAUUCCUGGUGUAGCGGUGAAAUGCGCAGAUAUCAGGAGGAACACCGGUGGCGAAGGCGGGUCUCUGGGCCACUACUGACGCUGAGAAGCGAAAGCAUGGGGAGCGAACAGG
RNAcentral lists this ribosomal RNA (253 nucleotides) under uncultured bacterium. RNAcentral describes it as "partial 16S ribosomal RNA". It matches the Rfam family "Bacterial small subunit ribosomal RNA", at positions 524 to 776 of the family's 1533-position model. The record is from RNAcentral.